This is a long non-coding RNA of Bos taurus (domestic cattle), 1525 nucleotides long. The record is from Ensembl. Lineage: Eukaryota; Metazoa; Chordata; Mammalia; Artiodactyla; Bovidae.
GGAGUGGGGACACAUCCUGCUACAUUGGCAAGACAUCAACCAGAGUUUAUAGGAGAGUGAACAAGAAUGAGCUCUUCUCCAAGUCUGGAGAAAAAUCCCUCCCAGGAUCUGAGGUCUGCUGCAAACCAGAGAGCAAAUGCCUUAUCGGUAGGGAGAAGAGGCUGAUGGAUUGGAAUAUGUUGAAGAACCAAGAGGAGUUCCUGGGGUAUAGUGUGGAGAGUGGAGCAACACAGAGGAUCCAGGAUGAUUCCUAAAAAUGAAGAUAAGAAGCAAAAAUCGGAAGGUAUAAUUUCCACAAGGAUGUUUGUGGACACUGGAAUUUUGGGGAGUGCUUUGUAUUUGUGAUGUGUAUGUGAUGAUCACAUAGGUGGCUGAAGAUUCAUUGAUAUCCAGAAGAUAAACCACAAGAAAAGCAACCAGGAACAACUCCACGCUGGCUGACUUUUCCCAGAUCCUUGUGUUUUACCUGGAAAUUUGUGCUUUGACUCAGAUCCUAGCUCUGAGUGUGAAAUCUCACAACAAAAGGAAUUAAUCAUUAAAGUUCUAUGGGGAAUUCUGGUCUUUUAAAAAUCACUUGCAUACCAUUUCUCUGGGUGACAUUUUCUGAUCGACAAAGCUUGAGUCAUGGGUCUGUUAACUUUUUACAUAUUGUGGCUACAAUGAUAUAAUUCAGGAUCUUCUUAAGGAUGUGACAAAUUUUUUGCUAUCUAGUGACUAAGGACUUUCUAUUUUCAAUCUGAUGAGGUGUCAUUUGGAGCGCUAUGAACUUUACAUACCCAUUUAUACAUCCCCUGAUGAUUAAAAUGGAGCUAGAUAACUUAAUUAACAAAAAGAAAAAAUAAAAUUAUUAUGGUGUUUAUGCAACAUUGAAAAAGCUACUUCUUGAUGCUGAAAGGCACAAAUGUAAUCAUCAGGCAUUUGGGCAAUGUCUAAAAAUUAAUUUCAUUGUUGUCUUCAUCUCCCAAUCAAAAUGGUAUUACGUUUCCUUUCUCCUUCUCUGCCCAUUCAGCAUUUAGAAGAGAAAGGAAGUAGUUUUCAGCUUUUAGCUGCCAUUUUCCAAGUGCAUGUGGUCCUGAGCAUGCUCACCUAAAAUCUGUUUCUCUCUACCCCUCACUUCCACUCCAUAUUUUUUUUCUCUUUAUGUACUUUAAAAAGUUUACCAUAACUUUUUUACCAUAAACAAAAACAUUUAAGAAGUUUACCAUAACUUUUUUACCAUAAACAUAACUGAAUCUUCGUAAAUCUGGAGGAUAAGACACAAGAAAAAUAUAGAGGAAUUAAUCAAAACACAAGGAUGAUUUUUUUUCCCUCUUCUGAAUGUCAGCUUUGAAAAACUCUUACUGCUAAAGGCCGGAAUAAAUGUUAAUGAUUCAAAACAAAGAAGAAGGUUGUAUUUGUAGCUGUACUGUGAAAAAACACUUGUUAGCUUGAGUGAUAUCCUUGAAUUGUUACAGUUUUCUUCUCUAAAAAUGCAAGUAUCUUUUCUUUUUCUGUUAAUUUUUAAAAAAUAAAUUUAUCUCAUUUA